RNAcentral lists this transfer RNA (76 nucleotides) under Micavibrio sp. Its description in RNAcentral is "tRNA-Phe". It matches the Rfam family "tRNA". Rfam says of the family: Transfer RNA (tRNA) molecules are approximately 80 nucleotides in length. Their secondary structure includes four short double-helical elements and three loops (D, anti-codon, and T loops). Lineage: Bacteria; Pseudomonadati; Bdellovibrionota; Bdellovibrionia; Bdellovibrionales; Pseudobdellovibrionaceae. The record is from RNAcentral.
GCUCAGGUAGCUCAGUUGGUAGAGCAAAGGACUGAAAAUCCUUGUGUCGGCGGUUCGAGCCCGCCUCUGAGCACCA